This 253-nucleotide ribosomal RNA is filed under the name uncultured bacterium. RNAcentral's name for it is "partial 16S ribosomal RNA". It matches the Rfam family "Bacterial small subunit ribosomal RNA", at positions 524 to 776 of the family's 1533-position model. The record is from RNAcentral.
GACAGAGGUUGCAAACGUUGUUCGGAAUUACUGGGCAUAAAGCGCACGUAGGUGGUUCGCUAAGUCGAAUGUGAAACUCCUCGGCUCAACCGGGGAACGGCAUUCGAUACUGACGAGCUUGAGGUCCGGAGGGGUGAGUGGAACUCCUGGUGGAGCGGUGAAAUGCGUAGAUAUCAGGAGGAACACCGGUGGCGAAAGCGGCUCACUGGCCGGAAACUGACACUGAGGUGCGAAAGCUAGGGUAGCAAACGGG